RNAcentral lists this ribosomal RNA (2141 nucleotides) under Staphylococcus aureus. Its description in RNAcentral is "partial 23S ribosomal RNA". It matches the Rfam family "Bacterial large subunit ribosomal RNA", at positions 781 to 2925 of the family's 2925-position model. Lineage: Bacteria; Bacillati; Bacillota; Bacilli; Caryophanales; Staphylococcaceae. The record is from RNAcentral.
GACUUACGUUGAAAAGUGAGCGGAUGAACUGAGGGUAGCGGAGAAAUUCCAAUCGAACCUGGAGAUAGCUGGUUCUCUCCGAAAUAGCUUUAGGGCUAGCCUCAAGUGAUGAUUAUUGGAGGUAGAGCACUGUUUGGACGAGGGGCCCCUCUCGGGUUACCGAAUUCAGACAAACUCCGAAUGCCAAUUAAUUUAACUUGGGAGUCAGAACAUGGGUGAUAAGGUCCGUGUUCGAAAGGGAAACAGCCCAGACCACCAGCUAAGGUCCCAAAAUAUAUGUUAAGUGGAAAAGGAUGUGGCGUUGCCCAGACAACUAGGAUGUUGGCUUAGAAGCAGCCAUCAUUUAAAGAGUGCGUAAUAGCUCACUAGUCGAGUGACACUGCGCCGAAAAUGUACCGGGGCUAAACAUAUUACCGAAGCUGUGGAUUGUCCUUUGGACAAUGGUAGGAGAGCGUUCUAAGGGCGUUGAAGCAUGAUCGUAAGGACAUGUGGAGCGCUUAGAAGUGAGAAUGCCGGUGUGAGUAGCGAAAGACGGGUGAGAAUCCCGUCCACCGAUUGACUAAGGUUUCCAGAGGAAGGCUCGUCCGCUCUGGGUUAGUCGGGUCCUAAGCUGAGGCCGACAGGCGUAGGCGAUGGAUAACAGGUUGAUAUUCCUGUACCACCUAUAAUCGUUUUAAUCGAUGGGGGGACGCAGUAGGAUAGGCGAAGCGUGCGAUUGGAUUGCACGUCUAAGCAGUAAGGCUGAGUAUUAGGCAAAUCCGGUACUCGUUAAGGCUGAGCUGUGAUGGGGAGAAGACAUUGUGUCUUCGAGUCGUUGAUUUCACACUGCCGAGAAAAGCCUCUAGAUAGAAAAUAGGUGCCCGUACCGCAAACCGACACAGGUAGUCAAGAUGAGAAUUCUAAGGUGAGCGAGCGAACUCUCGUUAAGGAACUCGGCAAAAUGACCCCGUAACUUCGGGAGAAGGGGUGCUCUUUAGGGUUAACGUCCAGAAGAGCCGCAGUGAAUAGGCCCAAGCGACUGUUUAUCAAAAACACAGGUCUCUGCUAAACCGUAAGGUGAUGUAUAGGGGCUGACGCCUGCCCGGUGCUGGAAGGUUAAGAGGAGUGGUUAGCUUCUGCGAAGCUACGAAUCGAAGCCCCAGUAAACGGCGGCCGUAACUAUAACGGUCCUAAGGUAGCGAAAUUCCUUGUCGGGUAAGUUCCGACCCGCACGAAAGGCGUAACGAUUUGGGCACUGUCUCAACGAGAGACUCGGUGAAAUCAUAGUACCUGUGAAGAUGCAGGUUACCCGCGACAGGACGGAAAGACCCCGUGGAGCUUUACUGUAGCCUGAUAUUGAAAUUCGGCACAGCUUGUACAGGAUAGGUAGGAGCCUUUGAAACGUGAGCGCUAGCUUACGUGGAGGCGCUGGUGGGAUACUACCCUAGCUGUGUUGGCUUUCUAACCCGCACCACUUAUCGUGGUGGGAGACAGUGUCAGGCGGGCAGUUUGACUGGGGCGGUCGCCUCCUAAAAGGUAACGGAGGCGCUCAAAGGUUCCCUCAGAAUGGUUGGAAAUCAUUCAUAGAGUGUAAAGGCAUAAGGGAGCUUGACUGCGAGACCUACAAGUCGAGCAGGGUCGAAAGACGGACUUAGUGAUCCGGUGGUUCCGCAUGGAAGGGCCAUCGCUCAACGGAUAAAAGCUACCCCGGGGAUAACAGGCUUAUCUCCCCCAAGAGUUCACAUCGACGGGGAGGUUUGGCACCUCGAUGUCGGCUCAUCGCAUCCUGGGGCUGUAGUCGGUCCCAAGGGUUGGGCUGUUCGCCCAUUAAAGCGGUACGCGAGCUGGGUUCAGAACGUCGUGAGACAGUUCGGUCCCUAUCCGUCGUGGGCGUAGGAAAUUUGAGAGGAGCUGUCCUUAGUACGAGAGGACCGGGAUGGACAUACCUCUGGUGUACCAGUUGUCGUGCCAACGGCAUAGCUGGGUAGCUAUGUGUGGACGGGAUAAGUGCUGAAAGCAUCUAAGCAUGAAGCCCCCCUCAAGAUGAGAUUUCCCAACUUCGGUUAUAAGAUCCCUCAAAGAUGAUGAGGUUAAUAGGUUCGAGGUGGAAGCAUGGUGACAUGUGGAGCUGACGAAUACUAAUCGAUCGAAGACUUAAUCAA